Molecule: long non-coding RNA, 2943 nt
Organism: Eucalyptus grandis
Lineage: Eukaryota; Viridiplantae; Streptophyta; Magnoliopsida; Myrtales; Myrtaceae
Exons: 13
Source: RefSeq, a predicted model, not a curated record
AAAUCCCUAUAGAUGAGUUGUCUUCAUUGAAGAUCCUUCGAUUAAGUGGGUCAAACGUUUCUUGCUUUCUUAGUGGAUCCGAUAAGCUUUCUGCUCUUGAGGAAUUUCAAUAUACAACUACAGGACUUUCCAAUCGUUGCCGCAAAGCAUUGCUUAGCUGCCUUCGUGCAACUCCUUCAAUUAAGAAGGCGUCAAAAUAUUUGGUCGCUCCCACAACUUCUUGCCUGUUUAACAGAUUUAAGAGUUGCUGCUAAAAACAAAAAACAAAAAAAGAAAGAAAAAACAGAUUUAAGAGUUACCUGUCAGCAUCACACAUUGCCUCAACUCUCAUCUGGUCCACCUAAAAGUGCUCGUUUUUUAUAUUUUCCAACUGUUGAAAUCCAUGCCGGACCUUCCCUCUAGAUUAUGGGAGCUUUGUGUUUACAAUUGCAAUGAGUUGAAAGAGUUACCAAGUUUGUCGAGAUUGGUAUUCUUGUCAAAGUUAGCUCUUUCUUGUUGCAAUGAGCUGACAGAAUUCAAGGGUCUGGAAGCAUCAAAAUCCUUAGAAAGAUUCUUUGUACAUAGAUGCCAAAAGUUGUCCAACCUUGAUGGCCUUGAACAUCUAUCAAAAAACUUAGAAAAAUUGAGUUUACCUAGGUGCAGAUCCAUUGAAAUAUUACCAGACCUCUCGUGCUUCGAUAACCUGACAUAUUUGAACAUGAGAGGGUGCUCAAAGCUUCGUGAUGUUCAGGGACUAGAGAAAGUCACAAAUGUAUACAAAUGAGGGAUUUAGCUUCGAGCCUCAGCAAAUUGUCCCCAUCUGUGGAAAUUCGAAAUUUUAAUGAAAAGAUGGGGUCAAUCUCGCAUAAACUCGUGGAGACCACAGAGCUCUAGGAAUCGAGGUGUUCAACUCUAAAAGAUGUUCAGCGAUGCAACUUAUCAGAAUUCCAUUCGUUCAUUGCACUACUGCAGCAGAGAGAAACAAUGGGUCCCCGAAUUCACAUUUUGCUUUGAAAGGUAAAUAAAGCAGGAACGUGGAAGCUGAUGAAGGAAUAUGAUAUGAUGCUUUAGAGAAAUCACUCUCUUGAUAAUGCCAACAGUCAGAUGUCAUAGCCAUCAAGAAACCCCUCAACUAAAGUUAUCUCAGUCCCUCAACAAUUUUUUUCGUGAGAUUCAGGACCUGUGGAGGUAUCUUCGGGCAACCAAAGCAGCUUCCGUGACGGCACCCUCGACUUAGCAUUUGCUUCCUUUAAACGUUCGCCCUCUGUAGUUCUUGAAGUUGGCCAUGCAGCUCAGUAAGUUUUGACUGCACUCCUGGCUCAAAUUGUCAUCUGUACAACACCCGCUUGGUCUCAAUGUUCAGAUUCCCUGGGGUGAACGUGGUUCCUAGUUAGAACUGGAAAUCGGAGAACCAAACCAGAGUCCCGGUUCUAAAGAGAUCGGUUCCGGUUCCCAAUUUCUUUUUUUUGGAACCGUUCUCCUCUGUCUCUGCCCGACGCUGCUCGCCCUUGAUGAGUUCCUCGACGAAUCUCCACACGGAGUCGGGCCUCAAGUCCCUCGACGAGUUCCUCUCCGGCAAGACCUACAUCUCCGGAGAUCAGCUCACGAAGGAGGAAGGACGACAUCAAGGUGUACGCCGCGGCUCUCGAGAAGCCCGGAGGCUCGUUCCCGAACGCCGGCAAGUGGUACCGUCAUUUGUGCUCUCCCACAAAGGAAUGCACAACAAUUACAAAGGUCAGGGUGGAUGAAAGAGACUGUCGACUUGCCAUUGAGUCGGAUGAGGAGAUUGACAGUGGAUUUCCUUGCUUGUUUGAUGACAGGGAGACGGAUAAGGGUAGCUCCAUAACAGAUGAAGUCAAGGUAGAGACAGUGCGUAUUCUAAGGAAAGUGAGGAAACAAAAGUGGAGGUCUUCCAAAACUAUAGUCAUUAUUGAAGGCCAAUGCUUCUUCCAUAGUUCUCCGUAGCUUGGUGUUGGAAAUAAGGCUCAAUCCUGGCGGAGAGGAGGCAAGCUUCUUGGAAAAGCAGAUCCAAUUCUGACGAAUAACCACCAUAAGGUGACAGAAAUACACAAUUUUAGUCAGGAUGAUUUGAUGACCGAAGAUAUAUUUGUCUUGGAUUGUCACUCAGCAAUCUUUGUCUGGUUGGGACAACAAGUUGACUCCAAGAUGAAAAUGCAUGCUUUAACCAUUGGAGAGCUUUCAGUGAUCACUGAGGAGCGGGAUAAAUAUCAAACUCUUGUCAAUGAGCUGAAGAAGCCGGAGAAAGAUGAAACUGGGAGUAAAGUGGCAAAUGAGUUGCAGUUGUCUCUUGCCAAGAAGGAAUGCUGUAUCAAAGAAAUGGAGAGCAGUUUAAAUGAGCAAAAGGAAGCUAAUAAUCCGCAACAGGAGGAGAUUUAAAUGAGAGGCUAAAUAAUGAAGCAAGAAGGAUAAAAUCACUGGAAAGGGAAAGUGAUCGGCUUAGAUCAGAAAUUUCUCUUUUGGAGUCAAAGCUGGGUCAUGGUGAUUUUUCUGCCACAAGUACAAAAGUACUGCGCAUGGUGAAUACACUUGCAAUUGAUAAUGAGGCAAAGCAAACCAUUCAAGGGGCAGGUCUCUUGCUUUCAAUGCACUAGCUGCUAAUUUUGAGAAUCCAAAUGCAAGAAAUCUCUCAACACCACCAAUUGUCAGGAAGAUCUUUCCAAAGUCUGUCACCCCUGAUUCAACGAAAUUGGCUUCCAAAUCUUCAGCUAUAGCAGCUAUCAGUUCCACUUUUGAGAAAUCACCACCAAUACGAGAAGUCAUCAUACCCAAAUCUAUCGAAGGUACACCAUAACUUAUAAAUUAAUGCUUAGGGAAAUACACCAACAAUUGACUAUUGUUUCUAUGGAGUUUUAUCUUAUCAUUUUAUUUUACCGGGCGGUGAGUCCUGAGACACCAAAACAGAAUUCAGAGCCUAAUAACAAAGAGAACUCAUGCUUGGUCGAA